This is a long non-coding RNA of Eleginops maclovinus (Patagonian blennie), 168 nucleotides long. RefSeq lists it as uncharacterized. The transcript is spliced from 3 exons. The record is from RefSeq and is a predicted model, not a curated record. Lineage: Eukaryota; Metazoa; Chordata; Actinopteri; Perciformes; Eleginopidae.
UGUGGGAUGCCUCAGCUGCUCCCAGGAGGGCCCCGUGCAGAAUGUUUGCUAUGGUCAAACAAAGGAGUCCAAUUGUGAACACUGCCACAGUAAACUCAGUAUUCUGACAGAGAGCACAAGAUUCCAGUAUAUCCAGCCACGCGUCAACAAAACAGGUUCAAGUUCUGG